Molecule: unclassified non-coding RNA, 703 nt
Filed under: Hevea brasiliensis (rubber tree)
Lineage: Eukaryota; Viridiplantae; Streptophyta; Magnoliopsida; Malpighiales; Euphorbiaceae
Source: RNAcentral
AUUACAUGAUUCCAAAUACUAUUGAUGAUAAAAUGCUCUACAAGCUUUCCUAUUUCUCCAAUUUCCCCCCACCUUUAAUGCCAAAUAUUAUAUGUAGCCUAUUCCUUGUGCAGCUUAGUACCAAGUGAUUUUUCAUGGUACUACUAAAAGAAGCACAAGAUGAGGAAUUCCUCAUAAUACAAAAAUAUUACUACUCCGAGUUAGGCGGUCUGGAUCCUGAUCUCUGGCAGCCCCGGAUUUUCUGAUUGUCCAACUACAGGAUGCAAUGGUUGUUGUUGCUGCUGAUUAUUAUGGGGGCGGUGGUUGUGGUGAUAUUGUUGUCCUGAGGGGUUGUCGAUGUAGCUAAAAUAUCUUUGAACAGGCAGAGUACUGUGCAACUGCACGGUACUGGUUGUCUGUGCAGGGGAUGAUCGAAGGCGUCUGCUUGAUCUCCACCUCAAAUACUCUACGAGGAGCGAAUUGGUACUAAUUGCAAUACCGAACCCAGUGAAGGAGGAAAGCAGCACCGAUAGGAGUGCACUAACGUUAAGCACUGCAUAGAAUAUAUGGGCGAACAGGAUGACUAUUGCAAACUGAAAUGAAGCAUAAGCCCAUAUGUAACUCUUGCCGACCAUAGUAGAAGCUAUCAAAGAAGAAAGGAGGCCUAAAACACAAGAGAAAGGUAAAGAGAUCGCAAGAGCACGAGCGCCUAAGUCAGACACCA